Molecule: ribosomal RNA, 164 nt
Filed under: Sidalcea ranunculacea
Lineage: Eukaryota; Viridiplantae; Streptophyta; Magnoliopsida; Malvales; Malvaceae
Description: 5.8S ribosomal RNA
Rfam family: 5.8S ribosomal RNA
About the family: 5.8S ribosomal RNA (5.8S rRNA) is a component of the large subunit of the eukaryotic ribosome.
Source: RNAcentral
AAAACGACUCUCGGCAACGGAUAUCUCGGCUCUCGCAUCGAUGAAGAACGUAGCGAAAUGCGAUACUUGGAGUGAAUUGCAGAAUCCCGUGAACCAUCGAGUCUUUGAACGCAAGUUGCGCCCCAAGCCAUUAGGCCGAGGGCACGUCUGCCUGGGUGUCACGC